AUUGAACGCUGGCGGCAGGCCUAACACAUGCAAGUCGAGCGGAAGAAGGGAGCUUGCUCCUGGAUUCAGCGGCGGACGGGUGAGUAAUGCCUAGGAAUCUGCCUGGUAGUGGGGGAUAACGUCCGGAAACGGGCGCUAAUACCGCAUACGUCCUGAGGGAGAAAGUGGGGGAUCUUCGGACCUCACGCUAUCAGAUGAGUCUAGGUCGGAUUAGCUAGUUGGUGGGGUAAAGGCCUACCAAGGCGACGAUCCGUAACUGGUCUGAGAGGAUGAUCAGUCACACUGGAGCGGGGACACGGUCCAGACUACUACGGGAGGGAGCAGUGGGGAAUAUUGGACAAUGGGCGAAAGCCUGAUCCAGCCAUGCCGCGUGUGUGAAGAAGGUCUUCGGAUUGUAAAGCACUUUAAGUUGGGAGGAAGGGCAGUAAGUUAAUACCUUGCUGGUUUGACGUUACCAACAGAAUAAGCACCGGCUAACUUCGUG
Molecule: ribosomal RNA, 484 nt
Filed under: uncultured bacterium
Lineage: Bacteria
Description: partial 16S ribosomal RNA
Rfam family: Bacterial small subunit ribosomal RNA
Source: RNAcentral